Non-coding RNA from Acanthosepion pharaonis, 110 nucleotides. The record is from the annotation of a GenBank genome assembly. Lineage: Eukaryota; Metazoa; Mollusca; Cephalopoda; Sepiida; Sepiidae.
ACGGGCACAUCACGAUUAAACACAUGUUCCCGUACGAUCACCGAAGUUAAGCAACGUCAAGCCGUGUCAGUAACUAGAUGGGCGACCGCUUGGGAAUACCAGGUUCUGUA